UACGUAGGGGGCAAGCGUUAUCCGGAAUCAUUGGGCGUAAAGCGCGCGUAGGCGGCCAGAUAAGUCCGGUGUGAAAGUCACAGGCUCAACCUGUGAAUGCCGCUGGAAACUGUCUGGCUAGAGUCCGGAAGGGGCGAGUGGAAUUCCUGGUGUAGCGGUGAAAUGCGCAGAUAUCAGGAGGAACACCAAUGGCGAAGGCAGCUCGCUGGGACGGUACUGACGCUGAGACGCGAAAGCGUGGGGAGCAAACAGG
Molecule: ribosomal RNA, 253 nt
Filed under: uncultured bacterium
Lineage: Bacteria
Description: partial 16S ribosomal RNA
Rfam family: Bacterial small subunit ribosomal RNA
Source: RNAcentral